GCCGGCCUAGCUCAAUUGGUAGAGCAACUUACUUGUAAUCAGUAGGUUGGGGGUUCAAGUCCUCUGGCCGGCACCA
RNAcentral lists this transfer RNA (76 nucleotides) under Staphylococcus aureus. RNAcentral describes it as "tRNA-Thr". It matches the Rfam family "tRNA". Rfam says of the family: Transfer RNA (tRNA) molecules are approximately 80 nucleotides in length. Their secondary structure includes four short double-helical elements and three loops (D, anti-codon, and T loops). Lineage: Bacteria; Bacillati; Bacillota; Bacilli; Caryophanales; Staphylococcaceae. The record is from RNAcentral.